AGCCGUUUUUCCUUUCUCAGCGGCAAUCUUUCCUCCUUUAGAUGACUUUCCAAGAUUUGAUGGCAUGUGCUGAAAUUUUUGCUUUGUACUUUCGUGCCUUCUCUAAAAAGCCUAUUUCAACCCUUGAGAAAGGAAGCCGAACACAAAUUGCAGCCAUGUAUACUCGAGUUACAAGCAAUGUAAUGGGAUCCCCACCAAAGAGGAGCAGACAGUACGAAAAAGAAUUUAAAAUCUACCGAAGACAUUUCUGACAGCAAAAGGAGAAAAAGUUUUAGUUGUAACCACACGGUCGUUAUUGUUAAGAUUCAACUCAUGUUUAUUUCGGGCAUAAUGUACCCACGUCAUCUCUUUUAAUCUCUUUUAUCCCCACUUUUCAGAUGAAAUCCUCCAUUAACCCCAUUUUGCAGAUGAGGAUAUAGAGACUGGGAAAUGUUGAAAGAUUUGUCAAUGACAGGUUGGGGCUCAGGCCAGUGGCAAGGGAGAAUCCGCAGUUGCAGGAGGGCAGACUUCUCGUCUGAUUUCGAGCCCAGGGGUUCUGCUCCUCUCCAGCUCGUCCUACUGGGGCUGCAAGGGUUAGAGCACAAAGAGGAAGAAGAGGUAAGGGGAGCAGAAAAUUCUUACUUGCCAGAUACUCUGGGGGUGAUUUAGUAUAUGAAUUUCCUAAGAUUCGGCAUGUGUUUAAAACUGAUUGCUUUGGGGUGUGUAUGUGGGGCAGAGGGUUGUCAUUCAUAGAGACACCCCUGUCCCCCAUCACUGGGGAUCUUUCCUGUGUCAUUCUCUUCACAGGGUGAAUGAGUCC
Molecule: long non-coding RNA, 799 nt
Filed under: Mustela putorius furo (domestic ferret)
Lineage: Eukaryota; Metazoa; Chordata; Mammalia; Carnivora; Mustelidae
Description: lncRNA (ENSMPUG00000030175.1)
Source: RNAcentral